Paramarasmius palmivorus is the source of this 95-nucleotide non-coding RNA. Lineage: Eukaryota; Fungi; Basidiomycota; Agaricomycetes; Agaricales; Marasmiaceae. The record is from the annotation of a GenBank genome assembly.
GGUUCGAUGGCGUAGUUGGUUAUCGCAUCUGUCUAACAUUCAUCGGAGUGCGAUUUGUCACACAGAAGGUCCCAGUUCGACCCUGGGUCGAAUCA